RNAcentral lists this transfer RNA (75 nucleotides) under Sarcina sp. DSM 11001. It matches the Rfam family "tRNA". Rfam says of the family: Transfer RNA (tRNA) molecules are approximately 80 nucleotides in length. Their secondary structure includes four short double-helical elements and three loops (D, anti-codon, and T loops). Further hydrogen bonds mediate the characteristic L-shaped molecular structure. tRNAs have two regions of fundamental functional importance: the anti-codon, which is responsible for specific mRNA codon recognition, and the 3' end, to which the tRNAs corresponding amino acid is attached (by aminoacyl-tRNA synthetases). tRNAs cope with the degeneracy of the genetic code in two manners: having more than one tRNA (with a specific anti-codon) for a particular amino acid; and 'wobble' base-pairing, i.e. permitting non-standard base-pairing at the 3rd anti-codon position. The record is from Rfam by way of RNAcentral. Lineage: Bacteria; Bacillati; Bacillota; Clostridia; Eubacteriales; Clostridiaceae.
GGCUCCGUCGUCUAAACAGGUUAGGACGCUGCCCUUUCAAGGCAGAAAUGUCGGGUUCAAAUCCCGUCGGAGCUG